RNAcentral lists this ribosomal RNA (253 nucleotides) under uncultured bacterium. RNAcentral describes it as "partial 16S ribosomal RNA". It matches the Rfam family "Bacterial small subunit ribosomal RNA", at positions 524 to 776 of the family's 1533-position model. The record is from RNAcentral.
UACGAAGGGGGCUAGCGUUGCUCGGAAUUACUGGGCGUAAAGCGCUCGUAGGCGGCUUUCUAAGUCGGGGGUGAAAUCCUGGAGCUCAACUCCAGAACUGCCUUCGAUACUGGAGAGCUCGAGUCCGGGAGAGGUGAGUGGAACUGCGAGUGUAGAGGUGAAAUUCGUAGAUAUUCGCAAGAACACCAGUGGCGAAGGCGGCUCACUGGCCCGGUACUGACACUGAGAGACGAAAGCGAGGGGAGCGAAUGGG